RNAcentral lists this ribosomal RNA (117 nucleotides) under Clostridiales bacterium. Lineage: Bacteria; Bacillati; Bacillota; Clostridia; Eubacteriales. The record is from RNAcentral.
UGUGGCGACGAUAUCGCAGGGGAUCCACCCGUUCUCAUCCCGAACACGGAAGUUAAGCCCUGUAGAGCCGAAGGUACUUGUCCGGCAACGGACCGGGAGAAUAGGUCAUCGCCACAU